This 367-nucleotide ribosomal RNA is filed under the name [Eubacterium] saphenum. Its description in RNAcentral is "bacterial SSU rRNA". It matches the Rfam family "Bacterial small subunit ribosomal RNA", at positions 28 to 370 of the family's 1533-position model. Lineage: Bacteria; Bacillati; Bacillota; Clostridia; Peptostreptococcales; Anaerovoracaceae. The record is from RNAcentral.
GAUGAACGCUGGCGGCGUGCUUAACACAUGCAAGUCGAGCGAGAAACUACAUGCAGACACUUCGGUAGAAGCGAGUAGCGGAAAGCGGCGGACGGGUGAGUAACGCGUAAGCUACCUGCCCUUCACAGAGGUAUAGCCUCGGGAAACCGGGAUUAAAACCACAUAAAAUCAUAGGUUCGCAUGAACCAAAGGUCAAAGAUUUAUCGGUGAAGGAUGGGCCUGCGUCUGAUUAGCUGGUUUGGUAGGGUAAAAGCCUACCAAGGGCGACGAUCAGUAGCCGACCUGAGAGGGUGAUCGGCCCACAUUGGAAACUGAGACCACGGUCCCAAACUCCUACGGGAGGCAAGCCAGUGGGGGAUAUUGCCAC